ACAACGAUUUGCCACCCACAACAGUGGUGGAAACAAAUCGACCAGUUACCAGCAAUGGCAACUACUAUACUAUGAAGCAUAUCAAACAAAACAAUUAGCAAUGAGAAGAGAGCGAACGCUCAAACAUCAUGGCAAAGUUUACCAGUCCUUAAUCAAGCGACUGGCAGAAUAAUUAAGUAGCGGGGUGACGGCGUACCUUUUGUAUAAUGGGUCAGCGACUUAUAUUCUGUAGCAAGGUUAACCGUAUAGGGGAGCCGAAGGGAAACCGAGUCUUAACCGGGCGUUAAGUUGCAGGGUAUAGACC
This 304-nucleotide ribosomal RNA is filed under the name Mycobacterium tuberculosis. Its description in RNAcentral is "partial 23S ribosomal RNA". The stretch from base 141 to 304 matches the Rfam family "Bacterial large subunit ribosomal RNA", at positions 569 to 715 of the family's 2925-position model. Lineage: Bacteria; Bacillati; Actinomycetota; Actinomycetes; Mycobacteriales; Mycobacteriaceae. The record is from RNAcentral.